RNAcentral lists this ribosomal RNA (253 nucleotides) under uncultured bacterium. RNAcentral describes it as "partial 16S ribosomal RNA". It matches the Rfam family "Bacterial small subunit ribosomal RNA", at positions 524 to 776 of the family's 1533-position model. The record is from RNAcentral.
UACAGAGGGCUCAAGCGUUGUUCGGAUUCAUUGGGCGUAAAGGGUGCGUAGGUGGCGCCGUAAGUCAGGUGUGAAAUCUCGGGGCUCAACCCCGAAACUGCACUUGAUACUGCGGUGCUCGAGUACUGGAGAGGAGAUUGGAAUUUACGGUGUAGCAGUGAAAUGCGUAGAUAUCGUAAGGAAGACCAGUGGCGAAGGCGAAUCUCUGGACAGUUACUGACACUGAGGCACGAAGGCCAGGGGAGCAAACGGG